AUGGACUGAGACCUUGGGCAGAGAGCUGCGGGACGGGGUGACUCAGGGACUGACUGGGAAGGUGGGUCACAUCAAUAUGGACGCCUGUCAGUCAGGAGACACACACAGCCACACAAAAAUGUCAUUUUGUAUGCCCUUUCACAGGCCCAGGGACCAAAGAAAAAUCCGAACUAAAGCCUAUGAAAGGAUGUUUUAGACAUACAAAACUAGCCACAAAU
This 218-nucleotide long non-coding RNA is filed under the name Drosophila guanche. The record is from RNAcentral. Lineage: Eukaryota; Metazoa; Arthropoda; Insecta; Diptera; Drosophilidae.